This 303-nucleotide ribosomal RNA is filed under the name uncultured bacterium. RNAcentral describes it as "partial 16S ribosomal RNA". It matches the Rfam family "Bacterial small subunit ribosomal RNA", at positions 507 to 807 of the family's 1533-position model. The record is from RNAcentral.
AGCAGCAGCCACGGUAAUACAGAGGGUGCAAGCGUUAAUCGGAAUUACUGGGCGUAAAGCGCGCGUAGGUGGUUUGUUAAGUUGGAUGUGAAAUCCCCGGGCUCAACCUGGGAACUGCAUUCAAAACUGACUGACUAGAGUAUGGUAGAGGGUGGUGGAAUUUCCUGUGUAGCGGUGAAAUGCGUAGAUAUAGGAAGGAACACCAGUGGCGAAGGCGACCACCUGGACUAAUACUGACACUGAGGUGCGAAAGCGUGGGGAGCAAACAGGAUUAGAUACCCCAGUAGUCCCUGUCUCUUAUAC